GCACUCACGUGAACAAAAACGCUUCUCAGCACGACGCGGCGACUUCAACUGCCACUUCAAAUCGAGGGGAAGGGAGAAGGGAAGAAUUCGGAUUCGGCCUUGGAUUUUUGAAUUUUUUUCCCAGCUGACAAAUUGUUGUUUUAAGUUUAAAGCUGUUUUCAAAAUGUAAACGUCACCAUCCGUUCAUUUUCUGGACCCACUACAUCCCUUUUCAGGGGCACAGGGAGCCUGUCCCGGAUACUCAUGGGUAAAAGCGGAGUACAUCCAGGAAAAGGUUUUGUUAAAUGUACAUGCUUAUUCAUGCACUGAUUUGACCUCUCAGAAAGUGGCUGCAGGCGGUCAGGCAGACUGUCUCUCCAGAGAAUACCUGCGCAAACACUUCCCAGCUGCAGAUACAUGAACCGCAGAGUCAGGCUGUUGCGGAUCAAGACGAGGACCAGUGCGUUCGGAGGAUUUAAAAAGAAAAGAAUCAUUUUAUUAGUUUACAGGAUCUUUUUUUUAAUCACAUCCGUUCUGGUCCAAAUGAAGAAUAAACUGUAUGUUUUAAUGCAUACGGCCCAUAUUCAAAAGGAUAUGGGUCAGACCGGAUCUUUUUAUAAACCGUUCUGCUUAUAUUUGUGGGUCACUCUGCUUUUUUUACAUUCAGAGUUCUGGAAAUAAAUCAGAAAUGGCCUUGAUCUGCCACACAGUGAGGGUCAUUUGUUAAAAAUGAAAAGGAACUAAAAAGUGCAC
This 732-nucleotide long non-coding RNA is filed under the name Oryzias javanicus (javanese ricefish). RNAcentral describes it as "lncRNA (ENSOJAG00000007168.1)". Lineage: Eukaryota; Metazoa; Chordata; Actinopteri; Beloniformes; Adrianichthyidae. The record is from RNAcentral.